RNAcentral lists this ribosomal RNA (253 nucleotides) under uncultured bacterium. Its description in RNAcentral is "partial 16S ribosomal RNA". It matches the Rfam family "Bacterial small subunit ribosomal RNA", at positions 524 to 776 of the family's 1533-position model. The record is from RNAcentral.
AACGUAGGUGGCAAGCGUUAUCCGGAUUUACUGGGCGUAAAGCGUGUGCAGGCGGGGGUACAAGUGGUGUACGAAAUUUCCCAGCUUAACUGGGAAGGGUUAUGCCAGACUGUACUUCUGGAGUGCGAGAGAGGGGCGUGGAAUUCCGGGUGUAGUGGUGAAAUGCGUAGAGAUCCGGAGGAACCCCAGAGGCGAAGGCGGCCAUCUGGACCAUUUCUGACGCUGAGGCGCGAAAGCGUGGGGAGCAAACAGG